Molecule: RNA transcript, 8435 nt
Organism: Eriocheir sinensis (Chinese mitten crab)
Lineage: Eukaryota; Metazoa; Arthropoda; Malacostraca; Decapoda; Varunidae
Gene name: zinc finger protein 208-like
Exons: 3
Source: RefSeq, a predicted model, not a curated record
GCCCCGGGGUGACAGGUUCGUACCUCCCGCCAGACGAGCACUGGCCCGCCAUCUUGGCUCGUGGAGACGUGGACGGUUCCUUUUGGAGAACCCACAACACCGCGCCUCGCCCUGCACCACAAACCCCGGGCGGAAAGUUGCAUGUUUUCCCGCUCCUCAGGGCAGCAGUGAUAGCAGCAGGAGCAUGAUGGAGGGCAGGAAGUGCGUGGUGUGUGUCGGCGUCCCAGACGACAAAGACCCUUGCAUCCUGCUGCUGCACGGUAUAACGGAGCACACGGCCACGCCGCUGCGGGAGGUGGUGGGGCCGGCGCUGCAGCCUCACCUCACCUCCACUGACAUCAUCUGUGCGCGCUGCCUCAAGCUCUUCAACGAGAAGGACAGACUCCAGAAGCUGACGACAGACAUGGGCAGCCACAUCCAGACCAAGAUCCAGAAGGUGGGGACUGCAGGGGACGCUGCUGCUGCCGUGGGGGCCAUAAACAUAGUGGUGGGCAGCGCCCCGGAGAGGCAGGGCAUCAAGGACCAGCUGGAGAGGCAGUACAAGGGUAUGAAGGUGGCGGCGGAGGGGGCGGCAGCCAUGACCUCAGAAACACAACCCUCAGAGGCUCAGAAAGGAAGGAGCAAAGUGGACACCAACAAAGGGAGCAGUGUCCUCAAGCGCCGCCGAGGCCGGCCGCCCAACGCCUCGAACAGCAGUGCCCUGAAGCCCCAGCAGCCCCGGCAGCACCAGCAGCCACCGCCGCUCAUGGUGAACCAGCGGGAGAAGCGGAAGCGCUCAGCCAAGUUCAGCACCUUUCUGGAAGUGCUGAAGGGUGAGAAAGAGUUCUACAUCGAGGACGAGGAUGUGGAGGAGCCGAAGGGAAAGAGGCGGAGUGUGGGGAAGCAGAGAACAGCCCUGCCUGGCGUGGAUAUCGUGGAGGUGGAGGCAGGCCGAGAGGAAGAGGGGCCGGAUGGGACCUGCAUCAUCCAGGUGACCGACAUGGGCUUGCCGGCGCCAAGGGAGGGCCUGGCCCUGGACGAUGUGGUGCAGGAGAUCCUGGGCCUCACUGGUGAUGCCACAGGGCCACUCAUCUCCAUGGAGGGCCUGAGCUGCAGCAGAGGCACCCAGGAGGAGGAGGAGGAGAACCUGAUCAUUGCCAUCAGCAAGAUGAGUGCAGCGGUAGAGGCUGAGAGCAGCACAGAGGCCAGCAAGCCAGAGUCUGAUCCCAGCAUAAGGCUGGAGCCUCAGCAGGAGGAGCAGGAGGAGAGGGGAAAGCAGGAGCAGCAGCAGCAGGAGGAUGGCGGGGGUGGGCCCGGUGGAGGGCCCCAGGCGAAGAUGGAGCCCGGCGGUGGAGGCGCCUCGUCCUUCAUUGAGGUGACGGCGGUGAAGGAGGACCUGGCGGCCGGGGUGGAGGUGGUGCUGUCCCAUGGCGGGGGUGACACCUUUCACGCCACCAUCAGCAACCCCGCCACCCCACCCUCACCCUCCCCUGUCCCCACCCUCGCCCCCACUCCCUCCCCCACAGCCACCCCAGCCCCCACCCCCUUGUCAGCAAGCAUCAGGUCUGAGGUGUGUGGGGAUGCAGCAGGGGCCAGCAGUGCCACUGCCACCGCUGCCGUCAAGAAGUACCGGUGCAAAAUGUGUGCCAGCACCUUCCUGGGGCGGGAGGAGGCGCGGCAGCACGCCCAGGAGUGCCACAAGGCGACACAACCCCCAGCAGGCAGAUGUAAGCAGGACAGCUUCCCGUGCAGCGAGUGCGAGCGCUGCUUCCCCACAGAGCGCGGCCGCGACCGCCACCGCCUGCACAUGCACCACCGCCACCACCCCGUCCAGUGCCCGGACUGCCCCGCCACCUUCAACAGCUUCCGCCCGCUGGAGCGCCACCUCCGCCACGACCACGACCACAACCCCACACUGUACUGCGAGGCCUGCGACAUGGAGUUUGUUCUUGGCACCUCCCUGGAGCACCACAGGGAGAUCAUGCACCCCGCCCCCCCAGGCAGGGUCAAGACCACCAGGGCGCCCCCCCGCCAGCGUAUCAAGAAGCCGGACAAGCAGAGGCACGUGUUCUGCUGCCCCCUGUGCAGGGAGGAGGUGGCGGGGGUGAAGGCUUUCCGCCUCCACCACCAGAAGAUGCACAAUGGCUGCGAGUACACCUGCAACUACUGCAGCUUCAAGACUCUCUGCUUCAGCUCCCUCAACAGGCACAUGGUGCGGGUGCACAAGGCCUUCGACAUGAAGCUCUACACCUGCAGCAGCUGCUCCGCCUGCUACAGUCUGGCGCGGGACCUGGAGGAGCACUACCGCUGCAUGCACGGCGCCGAGCCCACGCUGCUCUGCCAGCACUGCGGCGACAAGUUUGCCUGCGCGGAGAUGCUCAGGUUCCACCGCAACACCCACCGAGCCUUCCAGUGCAAGCUGUGCCACCUGGGCUUCAUGAAGGAGGAGGCGCUGGAGGACCAUGUCAGGACAAUCCACUCCUGCGACCCUGUUGGCAGCACGGAGAGCAGUGGCACCAAAGGCCAGGCGGAGGCUAAGGGGGCGAGUGCCAAGGCUAAGGGCGACGAGAGGGGCCGCAAGGGCAGCGAGAGCACUGCGUUGGAGCCCAAAGUGUUGGUGAUAACCAGCGACGGGUUGGUGCAGGUCAAGGAGGAGAAGAAAGAGGUGGGCGGCGAGCCCUCGGGUGACGUGACGCUCCACCUGCAGCAGACGGUGGAGGGCGGCCUCGAGGAGAUGGACGUGUUGAACCCCCUCAAGGGUCAGCGUGUCAAGGACCUGCCCAAGAAGAUGAACUGCCCGGUCUGCAACAAGGUCCUCACCACCAAGUUCCUGCGCACGCACAUGCUGAGCCACAAGGGCAGCCUCCCCCACAAGUGCCAAUUCUGCGACAAGGCCUACGCCCAGGGCACCCUCCUGCGCAAGCACAUGAAGAACCGUCACCACGAAGAGUUCCAGAAGCUGGGCAACAAGAACCCCAAGAAGCACAAGGUGGCAUGCGACUUCUGCCAGGAGAUCUUCGACAGCAUCUACCUGCUGGAGGAACACCUGUGGAUGCACAUGGAAGAGAAGACCUUCGAGUGUUCGGACUGCAAGAUAAAGUUUGGCAUGGAGAGCAACCUGCGGGAGCACUACAAGAGCCACUACUUCAAGGAGGCCAAGCCGUGCCCCGUCUGCCAAAGGGAGUUCAAGUCCAUCGGCUACUACAAUGACCACGUGGAGAAGUGCCAGAAGCGGUGGAAGUGUGAGCAGUGCGGCCUGGAGUGCGACACACAGGAGUAUUACCGGAAGCACCAGCGGGCCGAGCACGGCGGGGAGAACGUGGUGCGGUACCAGUGCUCCCUCUGCGACAAGUCCUUCGUGGAUCGCCACCGCUACGAUGACCACAUGAUCACGCACUCCUCGGAGAAGGCCUUCACCUGCCACAUCUGCCUCAAGCAGUUCAAGCGCCAGCGGCCGCUCAAUGACCACCUCAUGCGCACACACUCCAGCAGCCUCCUGGUCUGCCCCUACUGCUCCAAGACCUUCCAGAAGCACACGGAGCUCAAGGCACACAAGCUCAAGCACAGGAGGGAGUACCCGUGCUCCUCCUGCAGCCGCUCCUACUCCUCCAACGAGGCGCUGGUCAACCACCACCUGGUGCACCACGCCGAGGCCACGCUCCUCUGCCACGUCUGCUCCGAGCCCUUCGCCAGGCAGCUCCACCUCAAGAACCACCUGGUCACCCACAGCUCCAGCACGCCAAACAUCUGCCAGGUGGAUGGCUGCCACAAGAUGUUCCGGUCCGAGAGCCUGCUCAGGAACCAUGCUGCCAGGCGCCACCAGGAGCUGCACUAUGACUGCUCGCUGUGCGACCGGAAAUUCAGCCUCGAGUCCGACCAGGUUCGGCACGCCGCCACGCACCUGGGUGGGUCGAGCGUGGCCUGUGAGGAGUGCGGCCGCAGCUUCCGCAGCGAGGCCCAACUGGAGCGGCACCUGCUGACGCACACGCAGGAGAAGCCCUACGAGUGCGAGGUGUGCCAGCAGUCCGCCAACAGCCGGCAGCAGAUCCUGCGGCACAUACAGGCGGAGCACGGGCUCACCGAGGGCACGUGCCACGUCAUUGUGAACCGCUGGCAGUGCUCCACCUGCAGCAAGAUGUUUGUGGCUCAGAGCUCCAUCCUGCGGCACCUGGAGGAGCACACCGGCCAGGGGGUGGAGGCCAUAGGCCAAGCCAUCAAAACCCGCCUGGUGCCGUCACCCACCCUGGAGCUCUCCCUGCCCUCGAGUUCGGUGGACCCGGCCACGGCCACAGACUCCUUCCUGGAGCAGGUGUCCUCCCUCAGCUGGCAGGACCUGACCAGACUCCUGCGCUUCCACAUCAUGAGCGAUGGCGAGGCAGACAAGGGGGAGCAAGCCGCCGUCAGCACCAGCGUGUGGCAGUGCCCGGGCUGCCUGCACGCCACGCACUCCGAGGACGACAUGCGGGACCACCUGGAGGGCUCCACGGAGUGCCAGGAGGCCGUCAUCCUCCAGCUGGCGGGGGGCCUGGCCGGCACGGAUGACAUGGAGGACGAGAGUGGUGCAGAGGAGCCCCUGGUGGACGGCCACAGCAACGAGACAGUGGUCCAGCUGGCCAGCGCCGACGGGGGCCUGCAGUACAUCAUCAUGAGGGAGGAGGGUGACACCUCCCCUCCGGGGCUCGGCGAGGGUUGCAAGGAGGGCCAGGGGGGGCAGGAGGCUGAGGAGGGCAUGCAGGUGCUGGUGAGCGUGGAUGACAGCCUGCAGCAGCUCCUCCACCAGCAGCCGACGAACCCAAACAUCCAGAUCGUGGUGGAGGACGCAGCGCCGCUCAAACAAUUCCUUGUCGAGAACACAAAUGCCGACGUCAACACAGACGCAGUGCCGAUCAACUCCUCGCCGACCAACGCCAGCCACGACGCCCUCCCGGCCGAGACGCCGCUGCUUAACGGGUCUGAGGUGCUGCUGCAGACAGUCGACGGGAAGCUCUUUCUACAGCAGACGGUUGGAGGCGUGACGCAGUACCAGCUAGUGGAAGGCGUACCAACAACACCAAUAGAGGACGGUGCGCCCGGCCUGCUGCCCACCGACCACGCCCCCACCCUGGAGGAGGGCUUCAUCAUGCCAAGUUAAGCCCACCUCACACCGCCUUAAUUAAACCUGAAACUUGUCGGGCUGAGUGUGUGUUCGUACAUUGAAGUCAUUCCAAUGAGUGUGCGUAGAGAAGACGUACAUAAUACUUGGAAGUGUCUGCUUGAGGGAUGAAAAUGAAUCUGCAUCAAGUUGGUGCAAUGAUGGAUGCUCUUUUUUUUUCCCUUGAUAAUUAAUAUUUUAUACGAUCUCAGUUUUCCAUUUUUUCUUCUUUUUUUUUAUUACAUGAAUACUCAUCUGAAGGGUGCAUACAAUUUGCUGGACAUGUGCUGCUACAAAAAUACACACACACACACACACACACACACACACACACACACACACACACACACACACACACACAACUCAAGUUACUCAAUAAACCUUUCUCUAGCAUUACAUGAAGUCAUUUCUUUCUGCAAUUUGACAUUACAGUUCUUUACACAUUUUAACAGCAAGGAGUUUCUCAGGGUGAAAUAGUCAAAGCCGACUGACGCAAGACUCAAACUGCUGUGCUAGUGUUGUGUUGCCGUCAUCAGAUUUUAAUGUUAUUUAAAAUAUUAUGUUUGUGGUCAUUUAAUUUCACUUGUUUUCUUCGAGUACCAGAAUUAUAUUGCUGGGAUGCUAGGUAUGAUGUCUUGAAAUGCAAUAGUUUUUUAUACAUAUCAAAUGUAUGUCUAUUUAUUGUGUUUAUUUAUGUAUUUUUACCUGACUCAUCGUAUGCUUGUGCAAGAGUCGAUCUGGUGCAAAAUUGAACCCUCUCUUAAACUAUGAUAAUUAUCUUCAAUUGAGGAAAUAAUCUGACCGCUUGAAAAAGUAGUAGUAGUAGUAGUAGUAGUAGUAGUUGCAUUAGUAGUAGCAUGAGUACCCAGGGUAGUAGUAGUAAGAGUAGUAAUAGUAAUAAUAUUAGUAGUAGUAAUAGCAGUAGUAGUAGUAGUAGUAGUAGCAGCAGCAAAAAGACCCUAAUAUGACCAUCAAAAAUUUAUAUUCAUGUAAAGACAGAACUUAAAUUUGGCCAUAAAAAAAUUGUCCUAAUGAAAUAGACUCUGAAGUUUAUGCAGCAUGACAGUGGCUGAGUUACAGUGACGAGGAAGAAGGGAAAGCUGGACACAGUGACAAAAGAAUAAUGAGUUGGAUGACAAUUAAGCAACAUAUUAUUAAUACUUGAGAAAACGAUGUGUUGCUUGCAGUUCUUUAUUGACAGUGAAUGAUCAAAUUACUCAGACUAGCAAUUUGGUUUGAGAAUGGAGUUGAUAAUUAAGUAUGACCAAUUAUAAGUGUAAGGAUCAAAUAUAGGUGCUCUUAAUUAUAUACAAGACACGACUGAAGUGUAGGAUUGAACACUAUGAAUGCAACUUCCACUUACUGUAUGUUGAUGGUCAUGUGCAAAAAUGGAGGUUAUAAAUAUGUAUGACCAAUGGAGUGAAUAGAUCAAGUAUUAUUGCUCUUAAUUAUACGCAAGACACGACUAUUAACUGUAGAAUCGGACACUUUCAAUGCGACUUAUUUACUGAAUAUUGAGGUUCAUGUUCGAAAAGGGAGGUUAUAAAUAUGUAUGACCAAUGGAGUGUAUAGAUCAAGUAUUGUUGCUCUUAAUUAUACGCAAGACAUGGCUAUUAAGUGUAGAAUCAGGGACUUUGAAUGCAACUUUUUUUUUUUACCAUGUUGAGGCUCAUGUUCAAAAUUUAGGUUAUAAUUAUGUAUGACCAACUAUGAGUGUAUGGAUCCAGUAUUGUUGCUCAUAACUAUACACAAGACAUGAUGAUGAAGUGUAAAAUUAGAUACUUUCCAUGCAACUUUCACUUUCUGUAUGUUGAGGGUCAUGUUCGAAAAGGGAGGUUAUAAUUAUGUGUGGCAAAUGAAGUGUAUAGAAUAGAUCCAAGUAUUGCUGCUCUUAAUUAUGCAGAAGACAUGACUAUGGAGCAAUAUGUAGAAUCAGGGACUUCAACUGCAACUUCUUUUUACUGUAUGUUGAGAGUCAUCUUUGAAAAUGGAGUGUCAAGUUAUCAAGUAUUGUUCGUCUUUAUACAAAAUACAGGACGAUAAAUGGAGUGUAGCAUCAGGGACUUUCAAUGCAUCUUAUAUUACUGUAUGUUGAGGUUCCUGUGGUUUGAAAAUGGAGUUUGAAAUUAUAUGUAUAUGGAUGAAGUAUUGUUGUUCAGAAAAAAAGACUAUGAAGUGACAUGUAGAAUCUGGGACUCUGAAUGGUGAGGUUCCUGUGGUUUGAAAAAAAAAAGUUUGAAAUUAUAUGUGUAUGGAUGAAGUAUUGUUGUUCAGAAAAAAAGACUAUGAAGUGACAUGUAGAAUCUGGGACUCUGAAUGGUGAGGUUCCUGUGGUUUGAGAAUGGAGUCUAUAAUUACGUAUAACCAAUUAAGUCUAUGGAUUAAGUAUGUUGCCCAUAAUUAUCCACAAGACAGGACGAGAAAGUGGAGUGUAGAAUUGGGGACUUUCAAUGCAGGUUUUCUUUACUGUAUUUUGAAGUUCUUGUGUCUAGGGCGGUUGACAUAAACUUGAGACUAAAGGAUCCGUUGUACAGUUGCCAAAAAAAGUCAGGCAUGCUGGGUGACUUUCAAAACUUUUUCCAGGUUGAGAGAUAGGUGGCAGCACUUGUAAAGACAUACACACAUAAAAGUAUCAAACAUCCUUGGGUCGCCGGAAUAUAAUUUAAGCGAAUUUUAUAGACAUGGUGUUGUGUUGGUUAGUUUGGCACCACUGGGUAGACUUUAGACAUUGGGACCAACCUAUUCGACACCACACCAAUACAAGUUUCGCUCAGAUUCUGUUCCAAUGACUUAAGGGUGUUUGAUACUUAUUUUGCCGACUGUACAAGUGUUGCCAUCUAUCUCUCAACAUGGGAAGAGCUUUGAAAGUCCUCUAGCAUGUGUGGCCCAGUGCAUAGAUGAAGUGUUGUUUCUUGAGUGCUAAAUGACUUGACUAUAUUGGACCUUUGCAUCAUUGAAAGACUGGAAUGUGUGUUGCAUUUUGGGUGUUCUUAGUUAUUUAAAAUGUUGCAUGUGGGACACACACACACACACACACACACAAAGCCUUUUUAAACUGUAAAUAGGUAUGAAAUGUGUAAAUAACUGUGUGUGUGUGUGUGUGUGUGUGUGUGUGUGUGAAGAAAACAAACACAUGUAUAAGGCCUGUAUUUAAUAAUGUGUAUGUGGUAAUGAAUUAGUGUGUGUGUGUGUGUGUGUGUGUGUGUGUGUGUGUACAAAGAAAGUGUGCUGUUUUUUUAAAUCUUGACUGACAGGAGGCCGUCACUACGACAACCACUGUUGCUGUUGUUAAUAAUUCUCUGACUAAUAAACAUAAAAUCCAGUC